RNAcentral lists this long non-coding RNA (650 nucleotides) under Dromaius novaehollandiae (emu). RNAcentral describes it as "lncRNA (ENSDNVG00000017141.1)". The record is from RNAcentral. Lineage: Eukaryota; Metazoa; Chordata; Aves; Casuariiformes; Dromaiidae.
CGACUUUAUGCAGAACCCGGCCUUAUUAGAGACUUGGAAAAUAGCCCCACAGCUUUGCCGUGACAUUCUUUUUUCUUUUUUUCUGCAGCUGAAGAUCAUUAUCAGAUAGAAACAUCCUUUCUCUAUGAGUUCUUGUCAAGGCCAUGAUGUCGCCUGCAGUGACUACGGCGUUAUUGCAAACUUCAGUGGAACGUGAAAUGUGUGGUCUUAAGGGUGUAUGCUUAUGAACACAGCCAUGGCUGUUCUGAGCAUAUGCUGUAUCAUCCAAAGGACAUCGGUGACAGAAAUCUCCCAGGCAUCUAGUGCUUGAGCUGCUAAGUUGGGAUGUGGAAGACCCACGUUCAAGUCUUUCUCUGGUCUCAUCCAGGCUAGCUACUUGUGUCCUUUAUGUUACAGGUGAGGCUCUGAUCAUCAGAAAUUGUCUAUCUUACAUCUUUUCUCCCCACUUCUCCCCAACCCUCUAUCCAUCCCUUCCCUCUCUACCCUUCCCAGAAAAAAAAAAAAAAUCUCUUUUAAGCCAGAAUGUUACCCUUCUGUAUGAUGGCCAAAUAGCUGGUGUCACUGAUUUCAGGGCAUGGGAGAACUAUGUCUUACCUAGUUCUAAUCUAGGCCUCUGAUAUCUUGCCUUUGUGGUGACUGCCUAUUAAGGC